GGUCAAGUUAUUAAGGGUGCAGGGCGGAUGCCUUGGCACUAGGAGCCGAUGAAGGACGUGAUAAGCUGCGAUAAGCUUCGGGGAGUUGCACGUAAACUUUGAUCCGAAGAUUUCCGAAUGAGGAAACUCACUUAGAGUAAUGUCUAAGUAUCAUUAAGUGAAUACAUAGCUUAAUGAGGGGAACUCAGGGAACUGAAACAUCUAAGUACCUGAAGGAAGAGAAAGAAAUUCGAUUCCGUAAGUAGCGGCGAGCGAACGCGGAUUAGCCCAAACCAAUAAAGUUUUCUUUAUUGGGGUUGCGGACAUAUCAUAACGAAGAGGUAUCGUAAUUGAAGAGGUUUGGAAAGACCCACCACAGAAGGUAAUAGUCCUGUAUGUUAAACGAGAAGACUUUAGAUAUGAUCCAGAGUACCACGGGACACGUGAAACCCUGUGGGAAGCAGGAGGGACCACCCUCCAAGGCUAAAUACUACCUAGUGACCGAUAGCGUAUAGUACCGUGAGGGAAAGGUGAAAAGAACCCCGGGAGGGGAGUGAAAUAGAACCUGAAACCCUGCACUUACAAGCUGUGGAAGCACAUUUCUUGUGUGACCGCGUACUUUUUGUAGAACGGGCCAACGAGUUACGUUAAGUAGCAAGGUUAAGCACUUAAGGUGCGGAGCCGUAGCGAAAGCGAGUUUUAACUGAGCGUUCAGUUACUUGACGUAGACCCGAAACCGGGCGACCUACCCAUGAGCAGGAUGAAGCGAAAGUAAAAUUUCGUGGAGGUCCGAACCCACGAGCGUUGAAAAGCUCGGGGAUGACUUGUGGGUAGCGGUGAAAUUCCAAUCGAGCCCGGAGAUAGCUGGUUCUCCCCGAAAUAGCUUUAGGGCUAGCCUCAAGGUGAGAGAUACGGAGGUAGAGCACUGAAUGUCCUAGGGGGUAUUGCACCUACCGAAGACUAUCAAACUCCGAAUGCCGUCAUCUUAUACUUGGGAGUCAGACUGUGGGUGAUAAGAUUCAUAGUCGAAAGGGCAACAGCCCAGAUCGUCAGCUAAGGUCCCUAAAUGUAAGUUAAGUGGUAAAGGAUGUGGGAUUGCACAGACAACCAGGAUGUUGGCUUAGAAGCAGCCACUCAUUCAAAGAGUGCGUAAUAGCUCACUGGUCGAGUGAUCCUGCGCCGAAGAUUUCCGGGGCUAAAACUUACUACCGAAGCUACGGCAUCAGUAAUGAUGGGUAGGGGAGCUUCCCAUAUGGGUUGAAGCAUGACCGUAAGGACAUGUGGACAGUAUGGGAGUGAGAAUGUUGGCAUGAGUAGCGAGAUGUGGGUGAGAAUCCCACAGGCCGUAAACCCAAGGUUUCCAGGGGAAGGUUCGUCCGCCCUGGGUUAGUCGGGACCUAAGCUGAGGCCGAAAGGCGUAGGUGAUGGACAACAGGUUGAUAUUCCUGUACUACCGAUAACCGUUUGAGAGAAGGGAUGACACAGUAGGAUAAGCUAAGCACACUGUUGGUUAUGUGUGCCCAAGCAUUGAGGCAGUCAAAGUAGGCAAAUCCGCUUUGAUAAUGCUGGGAUGUGAUGGGGAGCGAAAUUUAGUAGCGAAGUAGCUGAUUUCACACUGUCAAGAAAAGUCUCUAUCGAGGUUAAAGGUACCCGUACCGCAAACCGACACAGGUG
Molecule: ribosomal RNA, 1653 nt
Filed under: Clostridioides difficile
Lineage: Bacteria; Bacillati; Bacillota; Clostridia; Peptostreptococcales; Peptostreptococcaceae
Description: partial 23S ribosomal RNA
Rfam family: Bacterial large subunit ribosomal RNA
Source: RNAcentral